RNAcentral lists this ribosomal RNA (448 nucleotides) under uncultured bacterium. RNAcentral's name for it is "bacterial SSU rRNA". It matches the Rfam family "Bacterial small subunit ribosomal RNA", at positions 29 to 524 of the family's 1533-position model. The record is from RNAcentral.
AGCGAACGCUGGCGGCAGGCCUAAAACAUGCAAGUCGAACGGACCCUUCGGGGUUAGUGGCGGACGGGUGAGUAACACGUGGGAACGUGCCCUUUGGUUCAGAACAACUCAGGGAAACUUGAGCUAAUACUGAAUAAGCCCUACGGGGAAGAUUAUCGCCAUUGGAGCAGCCCGCCGUUGGAUUAGCUAGUUGGUGAGGUAAAGGCUCACCAAGGCUACGAUCCAUAGCUGGUCUGAGAGGAUGAUCAGCCACACUGGGACUGAGACACGGCCCAGACUCCUACGGGAGGCAGCAGUUAGGAAUCUUGCGCAAUGGGCGAAAGCCUGACGCAGCCAUGCCGCGUGAAUGAUGAAGGUCUUAGGAUUGUAAAAUUCUUUCAGCGGGGAAGAUAAUGACUGUACCCGCAGAAGAAGCUCCGGCUAACUUCGUGCCAGCAGCCGCUGUAAU